This is a long non-coding RNA of Xiphophorus hellerii (green swordtail), 155 nucleotides long. RefSeq lists it as uncharacterized. The record is from RefSeq and is a predicted model, not a curated record. NCBI's taxonomy places the organism in Eukaryota, Metazoa, Chordata, Actinopteri, Cyprinodontiformes, Poeciliidae. The transcript has 3 exons.
GUGCUUUUGGUCACAAAUCUCCAACCGCUCUGCCACACAUCUGUCUGUUCCUCUCUUUUAUUGAUUUUAGGAACCCUGCCACACGGGGUGCUGCAACUCUAUGGGGUGGGGUCAAAGCAUGUAUCACAUGGUUGCAGCGCUAAUGACAUUCACUA